RNAcentral lists this transfer RNA (93 nucleotides) under Daphnia pulex (common water flea). It matches the Rfam family "tRNA". Rfam says of the family: Transfer RNA (tRNA) molecules are approximately 80 nucleotides in length. Their secondary structure includes four short double-helical elements and three loops (D, anti-codon, and T loops). The record is from Rfam by way of RNAcentral. Lineage: Eukaryota; Metazoa; Arthropoda; Branchiopoda; Diplostraca; Daphniidae.
GACCAUGUGGCCUAAAUGGAUAAGGCGUCGGACUAUUAGAAGUUGGUUGAGGUUGACAUCCGAAAAUUGCGGGUUCGAGUCCCGCCUUGGUUG